Papaver somniferum (opium poppy) is the source of this 2282-nucleotide long non-coding RNA. RefSeq lists it as uncharacterized. The transcript has 12 exons. Lineage: Eukaryota; Viridiplantae; Streptophyta; Magnoliopsida; Ranunculales; Papaveraceae. The record is from RefSeq and is a predicted model, not a curated record.
AAUCAUAAACCUUUCAUUAUUUUUCUCUCUUUCAUCGUUCCUCCUCCUUUCCAUUAUCGAUCUCUUAGAAGAAAGAGGGCCUAAGAUUUCUAUUUUUCUUCUCAACUCCUUCUUCGCAGUAUUUCAUUUUCUUUCUUCUCAACCUCUUCUUUUCGUUUUUUUUUCGUUUUUUUUCUUCUCAAAAGCAUGAACUGAGAAAUCGUUCAUAUCAAUUAAGAAGAAAUCUGGAGAAGUAAAUAAAUCAAGAAGGUGUUACUGAUUUUGUGAAUUUGGUUUUGGUUAGGUUUAUUAUUGAUUGAAGAGCGACGAAUCAGUAAGAAAUAGAGUUAGGGUUUCUAGAAUUAGUAUUGAGUUUGUGCAAAAUCAAAGGAGGAAUUAGUGUAUUGAAUAACAGAAGGAGGAGAUGGUGGAGUUGUAUUAACUCGGUUAUAGAGAUAGGGUAAAUCAUAGAGAGGAAGUUAGGGUUUUGAAAUUGAUUUAAGGUUCAAUUUGUUGCCCGUCGCAUUGAGGCCGUAUUGGAUAUGAAGAUGGAGCUGGUGGUUGAGUUCAAGUGUUGAAGUUGCAGCUGCUCUAAAAGAUACAGAAAGUGGACCAAUCAGAAAAAAAAAAGCUACAGAAAGUGGAGAUACAAUUGAUGUGUGAUGUGUUGAUGAGUCUGAGAAGAUUAGAAGUAGGGUUAUGGUAGGAGAUUGUAUGAUAUUGCAGUUGUAGAAGAUGAAUUCUGGUGGUGGAUAAGAAUCUGGUUUGAACUGAUGUUGAUGGUUGAACCGAGUGCAGUCAAGCCAUGGCAUUGCAUGUGGUCUGGAACUGAGAUUGGUAAGGGUUCAGCUGGUGCUAGUUGUCCUGUUGAGAUGUUGCAGAGCUGAACUGAAUGGUGUUGGGAAGGCUGAAUGAAAGAAAUGGGUUGAGCAGUAGCUGGAGAUUGAAGCAGCUGCUGCAAUGGAAACUGAAGGGUUUAGCUGCAGAGGUCACAACAACCUUCAGCCAUCGGUUGGCUCCAUUAAAUUUGAAUGUGAAUGAGCUUACUGGGGACAUGCAACUAUCAAGGAGUGAGCUUGAGGAAACUCAGAUGAUAGUGACAACACCUGAGAAAUGGGAUGUCAUCACUCGCAAAAGCAGUGACAUGUAAUUGUCAAUGCUAGUGAAACUGUUGAUUAUUGAUGAAGUACACCUGUUGAACGAUUAUAGAGGACCUGUAAUAGAGGCAUUAGUUGCAAGGACUCUUCGCCAGGUAAAGUUUCCUUAUGAAGUCUCUCAUUUCCACUUCACCUUCUGUUGAUAACUGAAACUUAUAGUACAAUUUUGAGAAGCAAACUACAUAACUACUGAGGAUGACUUCAACAUUAAUGAAGUAUUCUAACUACCACCCUUGUUGUUGUACUUAUCGAGGAAUUUUCUCAAGCACCUUAGGCAUCCAUGCAGCUGUGGGUCACAGAACCCAUAUGAAACUAGCUAAAGGGAGAUUUAUUAUAGGAUUCAUGUUGAGUCCACACAGUCAAUGAUACGCAUUGUGGGUAUUUCUGCCACUCUUCCCAAUUAUUUGGAGGUUGCAAACUUUCUGAGGGUGAAUCCGGAGGCAGGUGGUUGAUGGGAAAUAUUGACAGAUUGCUAGGUAGCUGAGUUGGAGAUAGCUUUCUCUAUUCCCGGUAUACAGAAACAAUACAAGGCAGGUGCUGAUCCAAAUGGAUGACCAGAUGGAGUAAAAGCUCUGCCACUUGUAGCUGAACUAGAGGCAUUGUCUGCAGCAGCAAAGACCGUUGAUCAUUUUAAACUUGUGCGUAGUUGCACAAUUACUUCCUGCUAGCCUGUAAUGGUGUUUAUCAACAAUAAAACUACAAUCUGGAGUCUAAAAAGCUGUGUGUGUAUGUACCGGUUCAGGUUGGCAUACAUAUUUCUGUUUAGCUUUCAUUCCCGUCUUUACCUUGAACAAGGCAUCAGCUAGAAAAGUAAAUUGUUGCUUGAUGAUAUCACGAGCCUUGAGGACCUGCCAUCUCAUAGAGGUAGAUAUUGCUAACAAGAAAAUUAUCAGCGGACCCACAGGCUUCAAGCACUUCAAUAUAGGAUUGCCUACAUCGAGUUUUCUGAUGCUCAAGCUUUCAACAAAGCAAGCCUGCAAAGGAUAUAAUGAACUAGCUGUUGUUAUUUGAAUGAUGCUCUAUUUCAUCAGAAAGAGUGGAGAACAAAGGAGCUUCAAGAUUUGUAAGUUCCAUGUAUUCAAGGUUGUAUUUGUUCCCUUAAAAAUUUGGAACCUUCCAUGUAUUCUUUGAGAAAUUUGAUACUUA